GAUGAACGCUGGCGGCGUGCCUAAUACAUGCAAGUCGAACGAACAGACCAGGACUUUGCUCCUCUGACGUUAGCGGCGGACGGGUGAGUAACACGUGGAUAACCUACCUCUAAGACUGGGGUAACUUCGGGAAACCGGAUCUAAUACCGGAUGAUAUAUUGAACCGCAUUGUUCAAUAGUUAAAUACGGUUUUUCUGUCACUUAUAGCUUGAUCCGCGCCGCAUUAGCUAGUUGGUAAGGUAAGGUAUUACCAAGGCAAGGAUGCGUAGCCGACCUCAGAGGCGGCGCGGCCAAGCUGGAAUGAGAAGACGGUCAGGCACACUACGGGAGGCAGAAGUAGGGGACUUUUCGCAAUGGGAGCAGGCGUGACGAUGCGACGCCGGGCGAGUGAUGAAGGCCUUAGGAUCGAGAAACUCUGUUAUGAGGGAAGAACAAAUGUCUCAGUAACUCUGCACGUCUUGACGGUACCCAAUCAGAAAGCCACGGCUAACCACGUG
Molecule: ribosomal RNA, 497 nt
Filed under: uncultured bacterium
Lineage: Bacteria
Description: partial 16S ribosomal RNA
Rfam family: Bacterial small subunit ribosomal RNA
Source: RNAcentral